AGCAGCCGCGGUAAUUCCAGCUCCAAUAGCGUAUAUUAAAGUUGCUGCAGUUAAAAAGCUCGUAGUUGAAUUUCGGGACUAAUAUGUCGGUCGUGCCUCAGUACGUACUGGUUUAUUGGUUUCUCCUUUCUGAAGAACCAUGAUGUCAUUUAUUUGGUGUCGUGGGGAAUCAGGACUGCUACUUUGAAAAAAUUAGAGUGUUUAAAGCAGGCUCACGCUUGAAUACAUUAGCAUGGAAUAAUGAAAUAGGACGUUUGAUUCUAUUUUGUUGGUUUCUAGGAUCGACGUAAUGAUUAAUAGGGAUAGUUGGGGGCAUUAGUAUUCAAUUGUCAGAGGUGAAAUUCUUGGAUUUAUUGAAGACUAACUACUGCGAAAGCAUUUGCCAAGGAUGUUUUCAUUAAUCAAGAACGAAAGUUAGGGGAUCGAAGACGAUUAGAUACCGUCGUAGUCUUAACCAUAAACUAUGCCGACUAGGGAUCGGAUGAUGUUAAUUUUUUAAUGACUCAUUCGGCGCCUUACG
RNAcentral lists this unclassified non-coding RNA (520 nucleotides) under uncultured Glomus. Its description in RNAcentral is "SSU rRNA". It matches the Rfam family "Eukaryotic small subunit ribosomal RNA", at positions 569 to 1092 of the family's 1831-position model. The record is from RNAcentral. Lineage: Eukaryota; Fungi; Glomeromycota; Glomeromycetes; Glomerales; Glomeraceae.